Long non-coding RNA from Grammomys surdaster, 520 nucleotides. RefSeq lists it as uncharacterized. The record is from RefSeq and is a predicted model, not a curated record. Lineage: Eukaryota; Metazoa; Chordata; Mammalia; Rodentia; Muridae. The transcript is spliced from 4 exons.
GGCGGCUCCGCAAAACCAUGGGGUCAGAGGUCACGGCUCGGGCCUCCGCUUUCCCGCGCUGCUGAGAAACCGAAAGCGGACUAGUGGCGGGCCGGGAUGGCGAGACGCGGCUUUCCUUUCGACGCUCGGAUGCGUGCGUGUCUGCCGUGGAAAGACUCUAAGGAAUGAUCCCUAUUGAAUGGUCUCAUAACAGUUUUUGGAUCACACUCAUGGGGAAAAAACUAAGAUUUAUUUUUAUUGUAUGUAUGUGAGUACACUGUUGCUGUCUUCAGACACACCAGAAGAGGGCAUCAGAUCCCAUCUAUGGCCCCAUUUUGAUUGUGAUUCCUGUGGGCUCACGAAGACAAGAAAAUCAGAGGACCCAUUUGUGUUCCGAGAGCACCCACAUCUGGCAGCUCACAACCACCGGUAACUCCAGCCUCUAGGACCCAAAGCCCUCUUCUGGCCUCCAUGGGCACCUGCAUACAAUGUGACACACACACACAAAGAAAUAAACCUUUAAAAAUAAACUGGAAAAAAA